CCUACGGUGUGCUGCAGUGGGGAAUAUUGGACAAUGGGCGAAAGCCUGAUCCAGCCAUGCCGCGUGUGUGAAGAAGGCCUUCGGGUUGUAAAGCACUUUCAGUGGGGAAGAAAGCCUUGGGGCUAAUACCCUCGAGGAAGGACAUCACCCACAGAAGAAGCACCGGCUAACUCCGUGCCAGCAGCCGCGGUAAUACGGAGGGUGCGAGCGUUAAUCGGAAUUACUGGGCGUAAAGCGCGCGUAGGCGGUCUGAUAAGCCGGUUGUGAAAGCCCCGGGCUCAACCUGGGAACGGCAUCCGGAACUGUCAGGCUAGAGUGCAGGAGAGGAAGGUAGAAUUCCCGGUGUAGCGGUGAAAUGCGUAGAGAUCGGGAGGAAUACCAGUGGCGAAGGCGGCCUUCUGGACUGACACUGACGCUGAGGUGCGAAAGCGUGGGUAGCAAACAGGAUUAGAUACCCGGGUAGU
RNAcentral lists this ribosomal RNA (464 nucleotides) under Vreelandella stevensii. RNAcentral describes it as "partial 16S ribosomal RNA". It matches the Rfam family "Bacterial small subunit ribosomal RNA", at positions 338 to 794 of the family's 1533-position model. The record is from RNAcentral. Lineage: Bacteria; Pseudomonadati; Pseudomonadota; Gammaproteobacteria; Oceanospirillales; Halomonadaceae.